CUUUGGGCUGCAAAAGACACCGGGCGUGUGGAGGCAGUCGUUGGGCCAUACAAAUUGUAUGACUCUUCUUUUCGCACACUGGAGGACAGUGGGUGGCUUUCUGAUGAGGUCAUUGAUGCAUACCUGCACUGCCUCAUUAGGAAACAAAAGAAACCCGUGUAUCAGUUGUCUUGCAAUGUUGCAACCUCUCUAUUUUCUGGGAAGUUUAAAUGUGUCAGCAAGAUGUUGUUUCCGGCUGAGGACAUUUGGUUGUGCCCACUGAACUUGGUGCACACUGGAUCCUUGUGGUUGUCAAAAUCUCCUCACGAUCUGUACUGCUGUUAGACCCUUUGGAAAUGAAGGUUGUUAUGAAAGGAAAAUUAUGCGUAACUGGAGGAAUUUUCUGAAGAUGAAAGGAAAGGAAGAGUCCCGAGUGGAUUGGAAAAUGGAGACUCUGCCACACAACAAGCAGAUGGACUCCAGCAGUUGUGGAGUUUUAGUGUUGAAGUUUGCCGAACACUACCUUAUGAGUGGAGAGGUUACUAGGGUGCUGUCCACUCCAGAAGCCAUUGGGCCGCAACGCACAGAAAUUGCUUGCGAACUGCUAGAACAUCAAAGUAAUGCUGAUGACUACUGUGUGGUUUGUUCCAUGCUGGAAGCCGAUCCUGAGUCCAGUAUGAUUGAAAUGGUGCAGUGUGAGUUUUGUCUCAGAUGGGCACAUUUUGGAUGUGCUCAAUAUGAGAGCAGCCUGGUCAAGUACUUGUGCGACAAAUGUGCAUAAUUUGUUAUGAAUACUGUUUCUUUUCCACUUCUUUCGCCCUGUGUUCUGUAGGAUCUGUAAAUAUCAAAUAUAUAUGUAUCUGUAAAUAUAUGCUGUCAGUCACAGUAAAGUACAAAGAGCAGCC
This is a long non-coding RNA of Oreochromis aureus, 884 nucleotides long. NCBI's taxonomy places the organism in Eukaryota, Metazoa, Chordata, Actinopteri, Cichliformes, Cichlidae. The record is from Ensembl.